Molecule: ribosomal RNA, 466 nt
Filed under: Aspergillus flavus
Lineage: Eukaryota; Fungi; Ascomycota; Eurotiomycetes; Eurotiales; Aspergillaceae
Description: eukaryotic LSU rRNA
Rfam family: 5.8S ribosomal RNA (bases 102-255)
Source: RNAcentral
GGCCGCCGGGGGCUCUCAGCCCCGGGCCCGCGCCCGCCGGAGACACCACGAACUCUGUCUGAUCUAGUGAAGUCUGAGUUGAUUGUAUCGCAAUCAGUUAAAACUUUCAACAAUGGAUCUCUUGGUUCCGGCAUCGAUGAAGAACGCAGCGAAAUGCGAUAACUAGUGUGAAUUGCAGAAUUCCGUGAAUCAUCGAGUCUUUGAACGCACAUUGCGCCCCCUGGUAUUCCGGGGGGCAUGCCUGUCCGAGCGUCAUUGCUGCCCAUCAAGCACGGCUUGUGUGUUGGGUCGUCGUCCCCUCUCCGGGGGGGACGGGCCCCAAAGGCAGCGGCGGCACCGCGUCCGAUCCUCGAGCGUAUGGGGCUUUGUCACCCGCUCUGUAGGCCCGGCCGGCGCUUGCCGAACGCAAAUCAAUCUUUUUCCAGGUUGACCUCGGAUCAGGUAGGGAUACCCGCUGAACUUAAGC